CCUACGGGCGGCAGCAGUGAGGAAUAUUGGUCAAUGGCCGGAAGGCUGAACCAGCCAUGCCGCGUGAAGGUCAGUGCCCUAUGGGCGUUAAACUUCUUUUGUGCGGGAGCAAUACUGGUCACGUGUGGCCAGACGAGAGUACCGUACGAAUAAGCAUCGGCUAACUCCGUGCCAGCAGCCGCGGUAAUACGGGGGAUGCAAGCGUUAUCCGGAUUUAUUGGGUUUAAAGGGUGCGUAGGCUGUGAGGUAAGUCAGCGGUGAAAUGCCCCCGCUCAACGGGGUGAAGUGCCAUUGAUACUGCCUGGCUGGAAUGCGGAUGCCGUGGGAGGAAUGUGUGGUGUAGCGGUGAAAUGCAUAGAUAUCACACAGAACACCGAUUGCGAAGGCAUCUCACGAAGCCGCGAUUGACGCUGAUGCACGAAAGCGUGGGUAUCAAACAGGAUUAGAUACCCUUGUAGUC
This 460-nucleotide ribosomal RNA is filed under the name uncultured bacterium. RNAcentral's name for it is "partial 16S ribosomal RNA". It matches the Rfam family "Bacterial small subunit ribosomal RNA", at positions 338 to 795 of the family's 1533-position model. The record is from RNAcentral.